CAAUUUAAAACGUCGAGGCUCAUUUCCGACCAUCGACGCUUGAAAAAGGACGCCAGCUUUACGACAACAAUCAUGUGUAUCGUGUCAGAGAGGUGAACCGCACGGACAUCUCGGCGAAGUGCUUGUCACAACAAAGCAAGCAGGCUUACGACGCCGAACUCCAAUCUUCGUUUACAGCUGUCGAUCGCGCCUCGAACUAUACUGAAGGGGACGUGUACGUGCCAUUACGGCGCCCUCGGUGACUGUAAACACUGCGCAGCGGUGGUAUUUUACAUCAAGCUGCACGAGGACGUGUCGUGUACGAGCGGUCCGCAGUCAUGGGGGAAACCAUCGACGAAGCCCGACCAUGACGACAAAGUGCCACUGAGAAAGCUGUUUGGAGGUGGCACGAGGAACGCAAAGUGCGCAUCAGCAGCACAGCAGCUCACACAAUUUUGCGUACCCGCAGAGGCCCUAAAGAGAUUGUUCACAGCGUUUUCAAGUCCAGUUUUUUUUCGUCCGAGGCUACAACAUAUGGAAUACGUAUGGAGCCAGUGGCCAGGAAGGACUUUGAGCAGCAGCGUGGUGUCACGGUGACAGAGGUGGGCCUGUUAUUUCACCCGCAACAGCCAUGGCUUUGUGGAAGCCCUGAUGGAAUUUUUUCUCUCUCUGGCGAGACAUGCUUGCUAGAGAUAAAGUGCCCAUACACAUGCAUUGACAGAGGGAUUUUUGACGAUUCAGGGCACAGCAUCCUUGACUAUGUGCAUCAUGUUGAUGGAAACCCCAUAGUAAGGAAGUCGCACAGAUACUAUACACAGGUCCAGAUUUUGAUGUACCCGCUUAAUGCAAAGCAGUGUUUCUUCUUUGUAUAUUCAAAGAUGCAGAGCAUGACCAUGGUUGUCGGUAGGGAUGAUGCUUUCCUUCAAGAGGCCAUUCCAACUCUUGAACAAUUUUAUUUUCAGUGGAUUUUGUGUGAACUUGUAAGGCAACAAAGUUAGUAGAGUGAAUGAUGCCUCACUCUAGAGUGCUACUUCUAUUUACUGAAUAGGGUUUUCCAACGCUUGGUAUACAAGCGUUGAAACACUUGCUAUUAUAUGUGCAAUUUUUUAUUUUUUCCAAGAGACAGAAAGUCUUCCGUCAUGUUAUUUACUUGUAAAUAUAGUGCACCGUAUGGCAUAAGCGUUUUGGUACUAUCAGUGGAUCAGACGCAUUACUUUGUGCUUAGCAGCAACACACCAUAACCACUGUGUUACUGCAAUUUGUGGGCAACUUAAGGACACACUCCAGCAAAAUGCCACGGGUAGAGAGAUAUAAAUCUGAAUUUUCUGUACGCAUCUUGUCACGCAUGGCAAAUUGAUGUAUUUAUUAUUUAGGCAACCAACGAGACUAGUCAUAUUGUGCAAAAAGUGAUGUUUGUUUACUUGCUUCUGCCUGUCCUCAUAUUCAUUUCAUAGCAACGCAUUAUCUGUACUUCAUGUAAGCCUCCUGCGAUACAAGUCACCAGCGUCACGGAUGCGUGGUGCUGCAGUUUUUUUUUUCUUCAGUGGUAUUAGUAUUACCGGAGUGAAUGCUCAUCUGAAUUUUCUGUAUGCAUCUUGUCACGCAUGGUAAAUUGGUGUAUUUAUUCUUUAGGCAACCAACCAGACUAGUCAUUGUGCAAAAAGUGACCUUUGUUUACUUGCUUCUGCCUGUCCUCAUAUUCAUUUCAUAGCAAAGCAUUAUCUGUACUUCAUUCAAGCCUCCUGCGAUACAAGUCACCAGGGUCACGGAUGCGUGGUGCUGCAGUUUUUUGUUUCUUCAGUGGUAUUAGUAUUACCGGAGUGAAUGCUCAUCUGAAUUUUCUGUAUGCAUCUUGUCACGCAUGGUAAAUUGGUGUAUUUAUUCUUUAGGCAAUCAACCAAACUAAUCUUUUAUUUUGCAAACAAUGAUGUUUUGUGAAGUGUAAUCAUGCAUACUGUGAUCUCUUAGCUUUUGCUUCUCACUUGUGUUUCCUAGUCAAGCUUUGUUACGCAAGCUAUAAGUGCUCAUGUACGUCUAAUAAGCAUUAGAAAAUUUAUGAGGGAAGUUUGUGCAUUGAAUUUUCUGAUCUGAGGCAACACCUUUUCCUUUUACAUGGUGAAAGAAAACUGCACCCACAUAUUCAUGCUUGUGAAAUGAAGUGGGAACAAUAAAUACUGAUUGUAAAAUGUC
Dermacentor albipictus is the source of this 2169-nucleotide long non-coding RNA. RefSeq lists it as uncharacterized. NCBI's taxonomy places the organism in Eukaryota, Metazoa, Arthropoda, Arachnida, Ixodida, Ixodidae. The record is from RefSeq and is a predicted model, not a curated record.